This is a long non-coding RNA of Oreochromis aureus, 2111 nucleotides long. The record is from Ensembl. Lineage: Eukaryota; Metazoa; Chordata; Actinopteri; Cichliformes; Cichlidae.
GUCAGAGUCUUGAUGUGGGGAAGGAGUUUAGCUGACUGCCCAACCAUAGCAGAGGCAGUACAAGUAACGAGCUGAAUUGCUCUAAAAGCUUGACAAUCAGCUCUACUGGGAGAUUGCCACAAAAGCAGCGUGUGUGUGUGUUUUGUUCAGCUCCGCUGGUCUCCCCGUUGUUCUGCCUGACAGCUUCCACAAGUUUUGAGACAGGUGAGUUUCCUUCAGCGGGAUGACAGUGGGACAGGCCGGCGCACUGUGAAGGGAUCACUGUGAUGGAGGACAGGUGAGGUAAGCAGGCAGGUGGGAAUCAUCCAAUAAGUAAGAGGCCUGAGCGAUACUUCCACACUGAGUCACUGUCUGGAUUGAUUGAAAAGAAAGAAAUUGGUGUUCUUUAGGUUUGUGAGGACAUUUCACCUCAUCCAAAGGAACUCUUUAGAUACAAAGAACUGAUUUAGAGUCCCAGGUAUUUAACUCUUAGUGAGGGCUGUCUCUUUGAAGGUGGUCAUGGUUGUUGGCCCUCUGCUGAUCAUUAAAUCUGCGCCACUGUGGAAAUGAACGCUGGCGUUAGGAGCUUCUUUAGUCUGCUGCUAAUCACACACUUUAGCAGAGCCCAGAAAAUCAGUGAUGACUCCAUCAACACCCCCCACCCUCCUGUGCUGUUCAGCAUCAGCCCCCAAUCCUACAUCAGCUUCCUGCUGCUGGGCCUGACCGUCGUCGUGUUCGGCGGCGUCUAUCUCUGGAUCCUCAGAUACGUCUGCAUCGGCUGCUGCCAGCCCAUCACAGUGGGCGUUGAAUCAGAAGCCCUGGCAGGGAUGGUGUGAAGUCAUCGGCCCCUGUCUGAUUGAGUUGGGCUGUUACCAAGUCACACAGGACAUGUACCUCGGUUUUACAGGUAAAAGACUUGGCCUAUCCGACUUGUCAUCAAUUUUGCAAAAGAAAGUAGGUGUCAGGGAAGAUAACUAAGUGUGUAGUCAUUUGUGCUCCCAUAUAAGUUUUUUUUUUCAAGUGCGGUUCCAGAGCGCUCAGUGACAGUGUCAAUGCUGGAAAAUAAGAAAGUAGGAGAAAAGUAGUUCUUUUGCUCUUACUUCUACACCCUGCUUACCUGAUAUCUGGCAAACAUCUGUUGGACACUGCCUGAAAAAUCGCUAAAAAGCUACUGAGCAGUGAACGUGAGACACAAUUGUAAAGCUGGGUGGCAGAAAUUUAAGAAAAAGUUCAGCUAAUAAGCUGAUAAAAUGCUUUGUAUCUUUGCUUUAGGGUUUUCUUUGUAGUUUAUUGACUGUUUUAUUUCGAAACCCUUUUUUCAUGGUUUCUUUUCUUACUUCCUGCCUUUCUCCUUCACAAGUGGGUUUUGUGUGUAACAAUUAGCCAUUUAGUGUAUUUAUAAUGGCGUCCCCCUUUUCUGCUGUCAAGUUAGUUUGUGUCUAGUUUUAUUUGUUUUGUUCCUGGGUAUCUGUCUCAGCUUCAGCAUUAUGUUAAAAACAAUCCAUAAAAACAUACUACAGUGUCUUCUUUUAAAACAAAGACAUUUUCUAUUAUUUUUUCUCCAUAUAUUCCACUCAACUGGUUAUUUUUGAGCAUUUACACACUUUAUGGGGAAAAAAAUUACCAGUUGAAGUUUUUGUGAAAGUACAGCCUGUUGAUUUCUCUGCUCGUGGCAUUUCUGCUCAGCUGAAUGACACAAAUAAAUCUCCUUUUCUUCUUCAAUCUUGCCUUGUGUUAUGGGGCCUGUGUAGGGUGACCAGAUCACAGUCUAAAAGUAAAUAUAACAAAAAUAAAGAGAAGCUGAAGUUUGUUCUUAUUGUCUAUAUUAUCUGUUAAUUCUUCCUCCUCCUGGAGGAGGAGGAGUAUUUAAUCUGUUCUGUUUGUUAACAGUCUAGCAUGCAAUCGGAUCUAGGUCACAAUAAAUGUGAAAAUCUGAAAAAACUUUAUAUUACUCAAAUUUUUUAAUGGAUGGAUCUUCUAACUUCACAACAAUAUGCUAGACCUUGGUGGACAUUAAUACCUUGGCUGGCUAAACAUUUGACUUUGACCUUCAUUUUUAGUGCCCAAAUUUGAAGAAACCAUAUCAAGUAAUCUGUCAUAUUAAAAGUACAGAAAACUUUCUUCUUUUAUUC